GCCGGCAGCUAGCUCUCUGCAACUCUCACAUGGUCACCCACUGAUGCUAAGCAGGGCUGCGCCCGGUCAGUACCUGGAUGGGAGACUACAUGGGAAAGCUAGGUUGCUGCUGGAA
Molecule: ribosomal RNA, 115 nt
Filed under: Danio rerio (zebrafish)
Lineage: Eukaryota; Metazoa; Chordata; Actinopteri; Cypriniformes; Danionidae
Source: RNAcentral